UACGUAGGGUGCAAGCGUUAAUCGGAAUUACUGGGCGUAAAGCGUGCGCAGGCGGUUUUGUAAGACUGUCGUGAAAUCCCCGGGCUUAACCUGGGAAUGGCGAUGGUGACUGCAAGGCUAGAGUUUGGCAGAGGGGGGUAGAAUUCCACGUGUAGCAGUGAAAUGCGUAGAUAUGUGGAGGAACACCGAUGGCGAAGGCAGCCCCCUGGGUCAAAACUGACGCUCAUGCACGGAAGCGUGGGGAGCAAACAGG
This 253-nucleotide ribosomal RNA is filed under the name uncultured bacterium. RNAcentral's name for it is "partial 16S ribosomal RNA". It matches the Rfam family "Bacterial small subunit ribosomal RNA", at positions 524 to 776 of the family's 1533-position model. The record is from RNAcentral.